RNAcentral lists this ribosomal RNA (939 nucleotides) under Lacticaseibacillus rhamnosus. Its description in RNAcentral is "bacterial SSU rRNA". It matches the Rfam family "Bacterial small subunit ribosomal RNA", at positions 504 to 1442 of the family's 1533-position model. The record is from RNAcentral. Lineage: Bacteria; Bacillati; Bacillota; Bacilli; Lactobacillales; Lactobacillaceae.
CGUGCCAGCAGCCGCGGUAAUACGUAGGUGGCAAGCGUUAUCCCGGAUUUAUUGGGCGUAAAGCGAGCGCAGGCGGUUUUUUAAGUCUGAUGUGAAAGCCCUCGGCUUAACCGAGGAAGUGCAUCGGAAACUGGGAAACUUGAGUGCAGAAGAGGACAGUGGAACUCCAUGUGUAGCGGUGAAAUGCGUAGAUAUAUGGAAGAACACCAGUGGCGAAGGCGGCUGUCUGGUCUGUAACUGACGCUGAGGCUCGAAAGCAUGGGUAGCGAACAGGAUUAGAUACCCUGGUAGUCCAUGCCGUAAACGAUGAAUGCUAGGUGUUGGAGGGUUUCCGCCCUUCAGUGCCGCAGCUAACGCAUUAAGCAUUCCGCCUGGGGAGUACGACCGCAAGGUUGAAACUCAAAGGAAUUGACGGGGGCCCGCACAAGCGGUGGAGCAUGUGGUUUAAUUUGAAGCAACGCGAAGAACCUUACCAGGUCUUGACAUCUUUUGAUCACCUGAGAGAUCAGGUUUCCCCUUCGGGGGCAAAAUGACAGGUGGUGCAUGGUUGUCGUCAGCUCGUGUCGUGAGAUGUUGGGUUAAGUCCCGCAACGAGCGCAACCCUUAUGACUAGUUGCCAGCAUUUAGUUGGGCACUCUAGUAAGACUGCCGGUGACAAACCGGAGGAAGGUGGGGAUGACGUCAAAUCAUCAUGCCCCUUAUGACCUGGGCUACACACGUGCUACAAUGGAUGGUACAACGAGUUGCGAGACCGCGAGGUCAAGCUAAUCUCUUAAAGCCAUUCUCAGUUCGGACUGUAGGCUGCAACUCGCCUACACGAAGUCGGAAUCGCUAGUAAUCGCGGAUCAGCACGCCGCGGUGAAUACGUUCCCGGGCCUUGUACACACCGCCCGUCACACCAUGAGAGUUUGUAACACCCGAAGCCGGUGGCGUAACCCU